This 406-nucleotide ribosomal RNA is filed under the name uncultured bacterium. Its description in RNAcentral is "partial 16S ribosomal RNA". It matches the Rfam family "Bacterial small subunit ribosomal RNA", at positions 30 to 526 of the family's 1533-position model. The record is from RNAcentral.
AUUGAACGCUGGCGGCAGGCCUAACACAUGCAAGUCGAACGAGAGGCGGACGGGUGAGUAAUGUCUGGGAAACUGCCUGAUGGAGGGGGAUAACUAGUGGAAAAGGUAGCUAAUACUGCUUACCAUCAGAUGGGCCGAGAUGGGAUUAGCUUGUUGGUGGGGUAACGGCUCACCAAGGCGACGAUCCCUAGCUGGUCUGAGAGGAUGACGAGCCACACUGGAACUGAGACACGGCCCAGACUCCUACGGGAGGCAGCAGUGGGGAAUAUUGCACAAUGGGCGAAAGCCUGACGCAGCCAUGCCGCGUGUAUGAAGAAGGCCUUCGGGUUGUAAAGUACUUUCAGCGGGGAGGCGUUACCCGCAGAAGAAGCACCGGCUAACUCCGUGCCAGCAGCCGCGGUAAUUC